UACGUAGGGGGCUAGCGUUGUCCGGAAUUACUGGGCGUAAAGAGCUCGUAGGUGGUUUGUCGCGUUGUUCGUGAAAACUCACAGCUUAACUGUGGGCGUGCGGGCGAUACGGGCAGACUGGAGUACUGCAGGGGAGACUGGAAUUCCUGGUGUAGCGGUGGAAUGCGCAGAUAUCAGGAGGAACACCGGUGGCGAAGGCGGGUCUCUGGGCAGUAACUGACGUUGAGGAGCGAAAGCGUGGGGAGCGAACAGG
This 253-nucleotide ribosomal RNA is filed under the name uncultured bacterium. RNAcentral describes it as "partial 16S ribosomal RNA". It matches the Rfam family "Bacterial small subunit ribosomal RNA", at positions 524 to 776 of the family's 1533-position model. The record is from RNAcentral.